Harpia harpyja (harpy eagle) is the source of this 609-nucleotide long non-coding RNA. RefSeq lists it as uncharacterized. The transcript is spliced from 3 exons. Lineage: Eukaryota; Metazoa; Chordata; Aves; Accipitriformes; Accipitridae. The record is from RefSeq and is a predicted model, not a curated record.
UCCCCUUAGCGCCGGCCUUGUCUGAAAGACCGAAGCACACGACUGACUGACAAGGCUGCGGAGUACCGCACGCUGGCAAGGCCACGCAACGCUGGCUCUAACGACACCAAGAGUUGGAUCUUUCUUACAAGUAGAACAGAAGGAGGCAGAUGUGGGCUAUCAAAGAUAUGGAAUGGCUUUUAGAGAAGAAAUCAAAUCGUUUUGGAUUCUUCAGCCUCAAAAAGAGAUGGCUGGAGUCUAUGUGGUGAAACCGUGAGAGGCAUGGGAUGGAGAAGUUCAACCUACCGAAGACAUGUGGCAAAUGCUCUCCUGGCAUUUCUGUAUACAAAAUGGAUAGGAAACCCUUUAAAAGUGUGGCCAUCAGGUACCGCUCUUCUUACAGCAUCUUGAAACUCUUCGUUUCCUGCAGAUAGACUUGUUGUACGUUCGAGCUCAUAGGCUGCUAAUGCUGGUGACAACAGAUAGGAUAGAUGGUCAUCCCAAACAGUGGAAAGGCCAAGAUCCUGUGAGGCAAGUCACAGAAUGAUGACAACUGCGCAGAAUGAACAUUAGGAUAUGACUAAGCUUGCAUACUGUACAGAUUCAAAUAAACCCAUGACAAAUCUUUAA